Molecule: unclassified non-coding RNA, 1416 nt
Filed under: Nilaparvata lugens (brown planthopper)
Lineage: Eukaryota; Metazoa; Arthropoda; Insecta; Hemiptera; Delphacidae
Description: uncharacterized LOC120350577, transcript variant X1
Source: RNAcentral
AAAAAUGGCGGAUGUGAGUGCUGAGUCAAACUGCGGAGUCUGUUGUAAGAUAGUUAAAGAAAAUGAAAGUGCAUUAAAUUGUGAAGGUUUGUGUGCGAACUGGUAUCAUAUUAAGUGUAUCAACAUUGUAACAAUAGAAUAUCGAAAAAUAUGUGAUCUUGGUGACAAAGCAGUGUGGUAUUGUGAGGCGUGCAAGGGAAAGGUAAGAGAUAUCAUAUCUAAGCAUGCAAAGUUUGUGUCUAAAAAGGAUGAAACCAGCCGUUUGAACUCAAACAGUGACGAUCAUUUUAUUUUAAGUGAAAUUCUUGACGAGAUGAGUAAAAUGAAUAAGGAUUACUUGCAAUUGAAUAAGCAUGUUGAACGAAUUGAAUCAAGUGAGGUUAUGUGCAAACAGUUACAUGAACAUUCCCAAGUUUUACAUGUUCAAGAUGCGAAUGAAAAAAGUGAUGACGAAGUUAUUUCAAACUCCCAUGUUAACAUUUUCUCAAGUAGAAUGGAGUUGUGUGAUUUGACUAAUGAUAAUGAAGACGAUGAACAUACAAAAUGGAAACUUGUAACUAAAGGAAAAAAUAGUAAUUCUAGAAAAAACACCUUAUCUAAAUCAAUUCCAAAUGUCUUUUUAUCUUGUGACUCAGCUAAUGUACAGGGAUUGAAGAAAAAUGACAGGCCUAGUGCGAUCUCUACCAGGACGGACUCAUAUUGUGCUGCUUUAUUAAAAAAGCCCAAGACUACUAUUAUUGGCUCCAGAAAAAUUUCCCCCUCCAAACCUGGUAUUCUACCCCUCAAGACAGUGGAUAGGAGAAAAUCAGUUUUCGUCUCUAGGCUGCACCCUGAGGUGGAGGUAGGGGAGCUUGUGAAAUAUCUGACUGAAUCUGGUAUGGAUAAAUCUGAUUUUGACUGCUACAAACUGAACUCUAAAUUCAAUACCUAUUCAUCCUUCAAGAUAGUGGUUACUGAUAGGCUGCUUGAGUGUGUCAUGGCUUCAGACUUCUGGACCGAUGGAAUUUUGGUGAAAAAAUUCAUUCCAUCCAAGAAGCCUAGGGAUCAAUCAAGUGCUUUUUUAGGCCAACCAAGCCGGGCUGCCCGGGUCAAGUGACACUCAUGAAUGAUGGGAGUAAGGCUGUUGAUUCUACCAUUGAUGUUUCUUUCGAUUUGCUUUUUUAUAAUGUCCAAUGCCUUCGAAAUAAGGUGAAUGAGUUGGAAUUGAUUGUCAGCACGAGCAGGAGGUACAAAAUACUGUGUUUGUCUGAACACUGGAUGUGCCCUGAGGAGCUUAAACUUUUGAACAUCUCUAACUAUAAGUUAGCUGCUUUCUAUAGUUGAAAGCAUUGUCCUGUAUGGCCUCACGCUUUGGGGUGGAGCCACAGAUGUUUCACGAGUGUUGCUCAUUCAGAAGAGGGCCCUGAGGAUCCUUUG